This 255-nucleotide long non-coding RNA is filed under the name Manihot esculenta (cassava). RNAcentral's name for it is "long non-coding RNA (MESC_LNC001146)". The record is from RNAcentral. Lineage: Eukaryota; Viridiplantae; Streptophyta; Magnoliopsida; Malpighiales; Euphorbiaceae.
GCAGCUGUACCCUCACUUUCAGGUGGGACUCCAGUCAAUCGUGCAGAUCGACGAGUUCCUCUCAUCUUAACUUUCUAGAAAACAACACAUAACAGCAUACAUCAGCAUAUAAACAUCACAUAUCAACAAUGCACAUGCAUACAUCAUGGCAUUUCACAUCAUCAAAUAGACAGGACUCAACAUCCUAUCCUAGUAGACAUGAUUUCCUAUUGUGCUUGACCUACUAUAACCUCUAUGAGCCCGACGCUCUCUCUA